AUGCCCUCGGCCCGGUGGGGAUAUAGGGGGCACCCUCCCUCCACCCUCCCCUCCGGUCAGGGCCGUGGGUCACAGCCCCGUCCCAUCACAGAGGUCAGUGGAGAAACCCACACUGCUCCUCGGGGACAGGCGGCUGCGGGAGGCAAAGAGGACAGAAGCCACCCUGGGGUGGGAACACGGGUGGGGGUGGGGAGGCCAGGGCCCCCAGAUCUCACCACCUCCCUCAGCGUCCUCUGGCCCAGCGCCCCGAAGCCCGACCCCCAUCAGCCCCUGGCACUGAAGACGCUGCCCCCAGCCCGCAGGGUCCCCGCGGCCCCAAGGUCAUGGCUACGGGGAGAUCGCCGCCCAGGACCCGGCCCCGCCGCCCCGCGCCGCCCCGCGCCGCCCCCCACCCCCGGCCCAGCCCGGCCGACGCGGGGACCCCCGGGAGCCGGAAUCCGGGCGCGCGCGGGGGCGGGUGUGGGUGCCGGGCCCGGCCGCCCUCUGCCCCGCGGGACCGGCCCCGGGGGUCCCUCUUCGGAAGACGGGGACGGGGGCGGAGGCCCGGGGGCCGAGCGUCCUUACCCGGAGCCGAGGUCUCAGCCAGAGGGACUGGCGGCGCCGGCGCCGGCGGUUUUAUCUCCGGGAGGGGGUCCACCUAUUGACGGUGGCGGCGCAGUGCACCGCGCCCUGCAGCACGCCAAUGCGGAACCGCGCGGGAGGGGGCGGGGCGCGGACGCGCGCGGGCGGGCGCCACGGGGACGCGAGGGGAUGCGGGAGGCGCGGGCUGCAAAGACGGACGCGGGAGGCGGGAGAGAAACGCGCAGCGGGCGGGGGCGGGGCGGGGGGCAGGGCGGGGAGGCGGCGGGAGGGAGGGACAGGCAUGGAGACCGCGCUGGGAGAGCGCGGCGGGCCCGGGAGACGGGGCGAGAGCCGGCUCGGGGCAGGAACACGCUUCAGCCGCGAAAAGCGGUCCCCGGGGACGGGGCAGACGCCGAGGAGCGGAGCCGGCAGGCGGGGGAGGGGAACAGCUGCGCUGCAGCCUGGGAGACGAGCCUGGGUCUACCGGCCCCUCCCCGGCUGCUCAUGAGGGACGCCCGAGAACCCCCGAAGCCCGGCUCUGAGGGGCUCUCCCUAGUGAGGCCCGGGGGUGCAGGUCUCAGGGUGGAACCCCGGAAUCUGCUGGUUUCCAGCCCCUGUCCUCACGUGCCUGCCCUCCUGGGCGCACCAUGA
RNAcentral lists this long non-coding RNA (1212 nucleotides) under Papio anubis (olive baboon). Its description in RNAcentral is "lncRNA (ENSPANG00000044584.1)". Lineage: Eukaryota; Metazoa; Chordata; Mammalia; Primates; Cercopithecidae. The record is from RNAcentral.